GUUCCAGCAGCACAUUAUGUCUGUGGGUAGCAGAACAGCUCCAGCACACCCAUCCCUUUCCAUGGCCCCCAGCAUGGCUGUGGUAGGAUGAGCCCUGCCCUGUUCCUGCUGCUGUCCCUGGCCAGCUGCUCCCUGCUCCAGGGGACGCUGCUGAGGCCACAGCACGUCAGGCUGGAGGCACAGAACUUCCACGUCUUGCUGCGCUGGGAGCCAGACCCCAGCUCACCCAGCUCUGCCACCUAUGAGGUGGAGUGGAGGAACAGAACCUCAAACUGGACCAAGGCAGGUGCCUAUGGGGGGAACUGCAGAAACUCCUGUGUGUGUGAGCUGUAUUUUGACAGGAUUCAUGAUAUCUACUGGGCACGGGUGAGAGUGGUGGCCGGAGGUGAGCGGUCCGAGUGGGCCAUUUCCAGCGAGCUGCAGCUGUACAGAGACACAAUUGUUGGCCCCCCCAAGCUGUCUUGGCUGCUCCAGGACCAAAUCCUCAGCGUAAACAUCAUCACACCACCCACUCCCUACCAGAGAAGGACUGGUUCCUACAAGCCAGUCAACCGAGUGCUGCUGAAGCUGUGGUACUGGCUGCACCUGUACGAGGGGGACCUGCUUGUCCAGCAGGUGCCCUGCAAACGGAGCAGUGAGAAAGUGCCUUGCACCUUUGGGCACCUGAAGCCCAGCACACAGUACUGUGUCCGGACGGUGGCUGCAGACAUUGCCAGGGAGCGGAGCCAGGAGGCUGAGCAGUGCCUGGUGACUCCAGCAGCCCCCUCAGGCUUUCCAUGGGUCUCUGCUGUGCUGAGUGCCUUCUUCCUGCUGCUGCCUCUGAGUGUGGCCGGGAUGUGCUUCGUGCAGCUGCAUGUCUUUCCCAGUCCUCAGGAGAUGUGCCUCCCAAAAGCACUGGCUCUCCAGAACAGCGAGCUGAAUGUGGCCAUGCAGGUGCCUCCACUGCAGCUUGAGGAGGACCCACUGGCCCUGCUCCUGCAGACUGUGCUCCCCUCCCACGGGCCAUCCACAGCUGUGCAGGCAUCAGCCACGGUCCCACGGCUCCUGCGAGGCCUUGUCCAGGAUCUUUAUUCUAAAUGCCAGUGCCCAGUUCUGGGAGCAGACAGCCACCUUCCUCUGCCCGUGCCGAGCAGAAGCUGCAGCCAGGACUGCCUGCAGGAGAGUCCGGGGACGGCUCGGCACUGGAUCCGGCUCAGCUCCGUGAGGCUCCUGCCCAGCACGGAGACGGAAGGCGGGCAGCGCCCCUGUGCUCCCCAGGCUCUGCGGGGCGGCGGGAGUGACCCAGAGCUAGGGGACAGCGCCGUGCAGCGAGGCUCCCCGGGGCAGGCCGAGCCGUGUCCGUGCCCGCUGCCCCCCUCGCCCCGCGGCCUGCGGGCAGCUCCCUUCCCCGGCUACGAGCCCCGGGCCCCGGCGGGCAGCGAGCCUUAGCGGCCCAGCCGAGCCCAGGCCGCCUCCCGCAGCUCCCCGGCCGGAACGGCUGUCUGUCUGUGUCUGUCUGUCUGUCCGUCUGUCUGUGUCUAUCCGUCUCUCCGUCUGUCUGUCUGUCUGUCCCAGCCUGCUGGGGCGUGCUGCGGGUGGGACCGGGCAGGCUCCAAGGGCAGGCACAGGCCCGUUCCGGGCACGGCCGCCAAAGACGGGCGAGAUCCAGAGCUUUCCUCUGGGGAUUCGGUGCUCUUGAGACACCUCAUAAGGAGCAUGGAGCAACGCUGAAGCCCCAAACCUCUUAUCUAGAGAUCUGUCUGUAUGUGUGCAUGUAUGGUACAGUAUCUAUACUAAUGUAACACUCAUAUAUACAUAUAUAUUUGUAAAGCUCUUUAAUGAAAAAAAUGUUGGGGGUUUUACUUCUGUGGAAAUGUUGAUUCUGUGCUGGAGUUGUUUUUAAAUAUCACUAAUUUAUUCUAGAAAAC
Molecule: long non-coding RNA, 1907 nt
Organism: Zonotrichia albicollis (white-throated sparrow)
Lineage: Eukaryota; Metazoa; Chordata; Aves; Passeriformes; Passerellidae
Source: Ensembl